This 291-nucleotide ribosomal RNA is filed under the name Trabeculus hexakon. Its description in RNAcentral is "partial 12S ribosomal RNA". The record is from RNAcentral. Lineage: Eukaryota; Metazoa; Arthropoda; Insecta; Psocodea; Philopteridae.
UCGCAACAAUUUCCACUAGCUGAGUAUGGUUUAUUACCUGAAAAGUUUAGUUAUAUGGCGGUUUUGCGUCUGGCUAGAGAAACAUGUUUAUUAGUACGAUACUCCACGAACAUCUUACUUAUAAUUACCUUACACACCGUCGUCGGAAGAGUUGUCUGAAAAUAGAGUUCUUAUACUGUAUCAGUAUUAAGUCAGAUCAAGGCGUAGGAUCUAUUUAUAAGAUUGAAUGUGUCUCAUUAUAUUACUAUGAAUUAGAUAUGUAAUUUUCUAUGAAAAAGAAUUUAGGAGUAA